Phacochoerus africanus (Common warthog) is the source of this 786-nucleotide long non-coding RNA. RefSeq lists it as uncharacterized. Lineage: Eukaryota; Metazoa; Chordata; Mammalia; Artiodactyla; Suidae. The record is from RefSeq and is a predicted model, not a curated record. The transcript has 2 exons.
CCCAGAAGGUGAGGAGGUGAAAGGUGAAGGAAACUGUGGGAGGGGACGCUCCGAGGGGGUGGGGCGCCGGAAGUGCGUACGUUCGGGGCCUCGAGACUCGCGAGCGCGUUUUCCGGUCUGGCUGCACUUUGCGUGCUUCGGGUCGUAGUUUCCUCUGCGAGCCGGCGAGGCUAUGGGGCGGGCCUUUGACCUGUUCUCGCUCUCAGCCCGAGCUCCUGGGACGGUGCCGCGCGCCGGGCGUCAGUGUAGGACAGAUGCACAUGGGCCAAGGACAGAAGCACGUCUACUGGCAACCGCAGGACUGUAGAGAAGUGCGGUUAAAACAGCGCUGGGGGGCUCUGCCCCUUCUGCUGGCGGUUCCGCGGCGGAGGGCGGAGGGCCGGUGGCUGCGGAGACUCCGUCCUUACCCCACAACCGGGAAGCAGAUGUUACGCCGCGCGGCAGCGUUGGUGCUGGAUGGGGAGCUGGAGCCUGCAGUGUCCCCAGUGGAGUGCUGCCUGCAUGUCACACGUGUAAGAGUCAAACCUCUGUUCUUUCGCUUUGUUCCCGUUAAAAGCAUUCAUCAUGUUAGGUGACUACUACUCUGGGCCUGGCCCCGUGCCACCUGCAGAAGGAGGCAAAAGGUCAAAUCCAGAAUAUGGAAUUUUCUCUUGCACACUUGAGUCAGUUAUUAGUUAGGGGCUUGGAGGGAAAAUAAAAAGUAGGACGGAUAAUAAAAGAGCAUAAAAACAUAAUGGAGUGGAAUGUGUGGACAUUAUUUGCAUCAUGAUAGAACAAACCAACUGU